Molecule: transfer RNA, 107 nt
Filed under: Dreissena polymorpha
Lineage: Eukaryota; Metazoa; Mollusca; Bivalvia; Myida; Dreissenidae
Rfam family: tRNA
About the family: Transfer RNA (tRNA) molecules are approximately 80 nucleotides in length.
Source: Rfam by way of RNAcentral
UUCAGGAUGGCCGAGUGGUCUAAGGCGCCAGACUCAAGGUUAUCAAACUUUAUAGCGAGUAUUCAGGUCCACGUAUGUGGGCUUGGGUUCAAAUCCCACUUCUGACA